Long non-coding RNA from Ananas comosus (pineapple), 1077 nucleotides. RefSeq lists it as uncharacterized. The transcript is spliced from 8 exons. NCBI's taxonomy places the organism in Eukaryota, Viridiplantae, Streptophyta, Magnoliopsida, Poales, Bromeliaceae. The record is from RefSeq and is a predicted model, not a curated record.
GGGACCUCCUUUCCAUCAGCAUAAUUGCAUCCAUUCCUCUCUCUUCUUCUUUUCUCAGCCUAGGAGCAAAACAAGGAAGAAGAGUUUGUGGAGUUAAGUUUUUGCUGCUGAAGUUGCUAAUCAAGGGGGGGGUUUUGGACCAUUAGAGUUGAGAAGGAAUUGAAGUUUGAGAAUCCGUAAGGGAAGCUUUUGGAGCUGAGGGAAACUAUCUAGUAAGGAGUUCUUGCUAUAGCUGCUGUGACAAUGUUGAAUUGGACCACUAAGCAGUGAGCAAUUUGAUUUAACUCUGAAUUAAGCCUGGGUGUUUUCAGACUCGGAAAAGUGGUCGAGCACCAACCGGGUACCAUUGGUGCUGAAGAAAACCAUUGAAAUGGAAUUUUCAGCAGAGAGGACUUGAGUGAAGUUGCUGAAUUGGAAUUACAGCUGAAGAAAAUUUGGGAGAAGCUUAAAUCUGGAAUUGCAAGAAGUUGAUGUUGUUGGUGCUGUUGUGCUGCCGAAAUGCAGGGGUGACCCAUUUCAUGCAGUGAGCAAGCUAAAUUAGCACUAAGUUAAAAUCUGGAGCUGAAAUUGCAAUUAUGGUGGAAUUUCUUUGAUGUAUUCAGUGGAGAGUAGAUUUCGAAAGCUGAGAUCACCCUGGUAGAAUACCUAAUUAAGUUAAGGAACUUGCCACCAGAAGCUGCUACUUGUAGAACCUUCGGUGUCCUGGACUGAAAAGAGAAAUUAGAGGAGUUUGAGCUCAAUUGCAAGGAAGAAAGUAGUAAACUAAUUUCAGCAAUGAAGCUUAAUGGCUGCUGGAACUUGAAGCAAGUUAAUUGGAUAAUCAGCUAAGUGGCCGCAGCUGAGGUCGGCGACGCACUAAUUACGGUAGAAGCCGUUUUAGCUCUACUUGCACGGAGUCGCGAGAGCUCGUUAUUGAUACGUUUCGAGACGUGGAUUCUAGUUGUUGACACCACUACAGGGCUAGGUACAGGUUUGCUGGGCGAGGACCGCAUCACGGGCAUCGCGCCCGACCAGUGAGGAUUAUUGGUAGAGUAGUAGCUUUUCUUUUGCAUUAGCACACCUAUGUAUUUGAGAGAG